AUGAGUGGCCUAGCGGAGGGAGCCGUAGCCAGGGGGAGGGAGGUUCACGGGUGCAAGUAUCACACUCCUCGUUUCACAAAGCUUGGCCACCCAAGCACUAUACAUGUUAAUAUCCUCAGACACAGGUGGUCCAAAGCUGGGCAAGAACACCUGCUGCAGGUCUGGAAGAAGCUGGAAGAAGCCCACCAGGAAGAACUUUAUGCGGAGCUUCAGGCCAUGAACUUUGAGGAGCUGAAUUUCUUUUCCCGAAAGGCCAUUGAAGGAUUUAAUCAGUCUUCUCAGCAAGAGAAAGUAGAUGCACGAAUGAAACCCGUCCCUCAAGAGGUGCUGGGCAGUGCCACGAGGGAUCAAGAUCAGCUGCAGGCCUGAGGAAGUGAAGGACUUUUCCAAAUUUCUCAGAACAAAGUAGCAGUGGUUCUCCUACUAGCUGGUGGGCAAGGAACAAGACUUGGAGUUGCGUAUCCCAAGGGGAUGUGUGAUGUUGGCUUACCAUCCCAUAAGACACUUUUUCAGAUUCAGGCAGAAUGUAUGCUGAAGCUACAACUGUUAGCUGAAAAAUAUUAUGGCAACAAACACAUCAUUCCAUGGUAUAUAAUGACCAGUAGCAGAACAAUGGAAGCAACACAGGCGUUCUUCACAAAGCACAAAUACUUUGGUUUAAAAAAAGAGAAUUAAUUUCUUUUCAGCCAGGAAUGCUACCUGCUAUGAGUUUUGAUGGGAAAAUUAUUUUGGAAGAGGACAACAAAGUUUCUAUAGUCCCAGAUGGAAAUGGGGGUCUUUAUCGGGCUCUUGCAGCUCAGAAUAAUGUGGAGGAUAUGGAAAAAAGAAGCAUUUGGUGCAUUCAUGUCUAUUGUGUGGACAAUAUAUUGGUCAAAGUGGCAGAUUCACGGUUUAUUGGAUUUUGCAUUCAGAAAGGAGCAGACUGUGGAGUGAAGGUGGUAGAGAAGACAAAGCCUACAGAACCAGUUGGAGUGGUUUGCUGAGUGGAUGGAGUGUACCAGGUGGUAGAAUACAAUGAAAUUUCCCUGGCAACAGCUCAGAAACGAAGCUCUGAUGGACGACUGUUGUUCAAUGCGGGCAACAUUGCUAAUCAUUUCUUCACUGUACCAUUUCUGAGAGAUGUUGUCAAUGUUUAUGAACCUCAGCUGCAGCACCAUGUGGCUCAAAAGAAGAUUCCAUAUAUGAAUUCCCAGGGAGAGUUAAUUAAGCCAGACAAGCCAAACGGAAUAAAGAUGGAAAAAUUUGUUUUUGACAUCUUCCAGUUUGCAAAGAAGUUUGUGGUAUAUGAAGUAUUACGGGAGGAUGAGUUUUCCCCGCUAAAGAAAGCAGACAGUCAGAAUGGGAAGGACAACCCUACAACUGCAAGGCAUGCUUUGAUGUCCCUUCACUAUUGCUGGGUGCUCAAUGCCAGGGGCCACUACAUAGAUUAAAAUGGUUCUCGCCUUCCAGCAAUUCCCCACUUGAAGGAUGCCAAUGAUGUACCAAUCCAGUGUGAAAUCUAUCCUCUUAUCUCUUAUGCUGGAGAAGGGCUAGAAAGUUAUGUGGCAGAUAAAGAAUUCCAUGCACCUUUAAUCAUUGAUGAGAAUGGAGUCCAUGAGCUGGUGAAAAAUGGCAUAUGAGUCAUGUGCCAAGUUCUGCCACAACAGGGGAUAGCUUUUUGUUUUUAACAGCCC
Octodon degus (degu) is the source of this 1673-nucleotide RNA transcript. It is a transcript of the gene named UDP-N-acetylhexosamine pyrophosphorylase pseudogene, with no coding region annotated. The transcript is spliced from 2 exons. The record is from RefSeq and is a predicted model, not a curated record. NCBI's taxonomy places the organism in Eukaryota, Metazoa, Chordata, Mammalia, Rodentia, Octodontidae.